GCCUACAGCCAUACCAGUCUGAAAGCGCCUGAUCUCGUCAGAUAUCAGAAGUUAUGCAGACUUGGGCCUGAUUAGUACUUGUAUGGGAGACCAACUAUGAACCUCAGCUGCCGUAAGCU
This 119-nucleotide ribosomal RNA is filed under the name Pelobates cultripes (western spadefoot toad). Lineage: Eukaryota; Metazoa; Chordata; Amphibia; Anura; Pelobatidae. The record is from RNAcentral.